This 3228-nucleotide ribosomal RNA is filed under the name Triticum aestivum (bread wheat). RNAcentral describes it as "partial small subunit ribosomal RNA". Lineage: Eukaryota; Viridiplantae; Streptophyta; Magnoliopsida; Poales; Poaceae. The record is from RNAcentral.
GCGGCACAGUGAAGAGAGAGAAAGAGACGGGGACAGAGGAGAGAGAAACCCCAGGUCUCGCCGCCUCGCCUUCAUCCGCUUUCGCCUCGCCGCCUCCGCGCCGCCCUCCGUUUCGAGGAGGAGGAGGAGGGGGAGCUCCAGUGCUCGCGCCGCAGCGGCGGCGGCGGCGCCGGGUGCCUGCGCGAAGGCCUCGAGAUCUCGCGGCGGCGCCGCCGGCUUUGUGUGGUGGUUGUGGUGGGUGCGGCGCCGUCUGCUCGGUGAGUUGGCUCGAUCUCUCGCCGCGGCGCUUCCAAUUGAGCUGCUCCGCCCCCCGAAUCGAGGGUUUUGGAGGCCUCCUGCUCUUGGCGGCCGUGCAAUAAACUAACCUCUCGCUUCGGGGGGGUUAGGGUUAGGUUUUGGCUGAAUUGUGGUGGAUUUGGGUGACCCAGGCGGCGCAUUGCGCUCGCGAGCAGACUGGUCUGCGUGUUCCGCCACGCAAUGAUGGGGAAGACGCAGAAGUUCUCCAAGGGGCACCCGCUCGGUUUCGUGCCGGACUACCGAUAUGGGGUGGAAACUGUGGGGGUGUCAAAGGGCCUUGGGAAUCCUGCAAGAAGUGAAGCCAAGAGAAAAUGCAUCAACCUGAAUACGGACGAGGGGGCUGAUGCUCCCGGAUUUAAUGUGCCGCGUGUGGUCUUUGAGUUGCCGAGGAUGUCGGCCUCGGAUAGGAAUGAGCUGGAGAUGAGGCUCCGCGACGAGCUCGAGCAGGUCAGGGCCCUCCAGAGUAGGUUGUUUUCAAGAGGGGCUACGACGAGCAUGAAUGGUGGGACUGCGUCGGCUCCCAGAGGUGAUUUCAACGGCAAUAAAAAGGAUGGGAAGCUCAGGAGGAGCAAUUCAGUGCAGUCUGGCAGAGGAUUACCGCCAUCAGUUGCCCAACCUGUAGUCAGCUCCAUUAACUACACAGCAUCGUUUAAAAAAUGCCAGGAGCUUCUGAAGAACCUUAUGAAGCAUCGCUCUGCAAGCCCGUUUGUUAUGCCAGUUGAUCCUGUGAAGUUGUGUAUCCCUGAUUAUUUUGAUAUAGUCAAGCACCCAAUGGAUUUGGGUACUAUACAGAAAAAGCUGAAUGCAGGUGUGUACCCUACACCUUGGGAGUUUGCCGCAGACGUGAGGCUUACUUUUAGCAACGCUAUACUUUAUAACCCAGUCGGUAAUGCAGUUAACAUAAUGGCCCAGACUAUGAGCAGUGUUUUUGAACCUAGAUGGAAGCCUAUCGAAAAGAAGCUUCCUCGACCAGAUGAGGAACUCUCUGCAAUUGAGCCUUCAAAAAAUGAUGCAGUUGAGAAAAAUAUUGUUGACAACAAAGAGCCUUUUGAUAGAAGACCUUCAAAUAAAGGUGCAUAUAAGAAAAACACCUUUCAAAAAGAGGAGGUGGUUGCCAAGCCAGUUUUGCACCCGAAGAAGAGGAAAGCCUCUCCUUUGGUUCAGGAUGCUCCAGUAGCAUCAGUGAUACAGAUGGCUCAGGUGGCUGAGGAGGUUCCAGUGGUACAAACUGCUAUGGGAAUGAUGACAGAUGAACAAAAGGUUGCUCUAAGCGUAAGACUACAAUCAUAUGGUGGAUUCAUUCCAGAACAUGUAGUUGAGUUCAUAAAGAGGCAUGUUAAUGAUGAUAAUGAUGCUGAUGAAGAUGAGUUGACUAUUGACAUGAACGCUCUCAGCGAUGAUACCCUGUUUGAAUUACAGAAGCUUCUUGAUGACUAUGAUAUAGUAAAUCAGUCUGGAAACCCUACAAAAGAUGAGCCUCAAGAGGUUGAGUUCCAAAGUGAAUAUGGACUUGCCAACUCAUCAAUGCAUCAUGAAGGCAAUGAGCUUGUUGAGGAAGACAUUGAUAUUGGUGGGAACGAUCUUCCACCUUUAACAUACCCCCCUGUGGUAUUUGAAAGUGAAACGGCAGACAGAAGCAGCAAGCAUAGUUCUUCUAGCAGUUCUAGUAGUGAGUCAGGAUCAUCCUCCAGUGGUUCGGAUUCGAGUAGCUCUUCUGGAAGUGAUUUGGGUGCCAAAGUUCCUUCGGCAAACAUCGGGGCUAAGGAGAACGUACUACCCGUGUUUAGCUUGGACCAGGAGAACGAUUCACAGGAUACAUUGAAUAUACAAGAACAAUGUGCUGACCGUGUACCUAUUUCUGCUGAUGAUGAGGAGGAGAACGUGUCUGAUAAAAAAUACCGAGCUGCCCUUUUGAAAAGCCGCUUCGCUGAUACAAUUCUCAAAGCUCGUGAGAAGGCUCUUGAUCAGGUGAAGGAUCCUGAGAAAGUUCGGCGCGAGAGGGAGGAGCUUGAAAGGUUACAAAGGGAAGAGAGAGCUCGGUUACAAGCUGAGGCUAAAGCUGCUGAGGAAGCUCGCAAGAGGGCUGAAGCAGCAGCUGCUGCUGAGGCUGCUGCAGAAGCUAAACGCCAAAGAGAACGUGAAAGAGAAGCAGCUCGUAAAGCCUUGCAGCAGAUGGAGAAAACUGUAGAAAUCAAUGAAGGGAACCUCUUCCUGAAAGAUUUUGAAAUGCUUGGAACAGUCACAGGUGAACAGAAUCUCAACUUGGUCGGUGAAAUGAGUCCAAGCCAUACACCUGAGCCCCUCGGAUUUCAACUUGGGGGCAACCCCCUAGAACAGCUUGGAUUGUAUAUGAAAAAUGACGACGAAGAAGACGAGGAAGUCGAGUCCGCAGAUGAACCAACAGUUGAUGUUGAGGAGGGCGAAAUAGACUGACAGAUUAUGGUGCAUUUUCAGUGAUAAUCUGAGUGGAGCCUGUGGCGUGACUGGACCGGAUAACUGUUUUUUGAUGUUUUUGAUAUAUGAAGGGCACAUCACCCUGGCGGUUCCAUUCCUCUACAGAACUUAUGAGCUGCACAAGUUUUUGGAGCAAAAUAUGGUUGAUCAAAUGUAGUAGCAGGCAUUGGAACCAGUCUUCAUGCAUGCGGGGUCCCAUGGAGUCAGCCCAUCUUUGUAUGGGUUCAUUGUUAGCCAUGAUGAAGUAAUGGACGCCCCUGUGCUUUUCUGGAUGGAUAUCUGGAAGAUGAUACUGAGGGAAAGGGGGUUGUUAGGGGGGGAUGGGUGGGGUUGAGGUGGGGUGCGUCCCUGGCUCUUAGAACAACUAAUGUGAGCCGUUUUGGGGUAGUUUCGGUGACAUUUCAUGUUGUGAAUGUAAUCCUGGAAACUGUACAAAGAGGUUGCCUGAUAGAUGGAAAACCGUUCUUUUUUCUUCUG